AACGCACCUUGCACCCUAUGGUAUUCCGUAGGGUAUGCCCGUUUGAGUGUUAUUAAAUCAUCAAACUCGAUUACAUUUUUGUGUGUGAUUUCGAGUCUUGGUCAUGAGGGUUUUUGCGGGCUUUCAUUAGUCGGCUCCCUUUAAAUGCAUUAGCGAGAAUUCCCUUUGUUUUGAACGCAACUGUGUGUCUCUGGCGUGAUAAUUAUCUGCGUCAAAUUUGGGGCAUAUAUGCGCGCGUUCUCGUUGGGCUUGCUUCUAAUCGUCUCUACAUCUUUGAGACAACUGGAUUAGAGUGUGCAUAUAUGCGCUUUUUUCUGAACCAUUUAACCUCAAAUCGGGUAGGAUUACCCGCUGAACUUAA
Molecule: unclassified non-coding RNA, 361 nt
Filed under: uncultured fungus
Lineage: Eukaryota; Fungi
Description: partial contains 5.8S ribosomal RNA, internal transcribed spacer 2, and large subunit ribosomal RNA
Source: RNAcentral